RNAcentral lists this ribosomal RNA (494 nucleotides) under uncultured bacterium. RNAcentral describes it as "partial 16S ribosomal RNA". It matches the Rfam family "Bacterial small subunit ribosomal RNA", at positions 28 to 507 of the family's 1533-position model. The record is from RNAcentral.
GACGAACGCUGGCGGCGUGCUUAACACAUGCAAGUCGAACGGUGAAGCGCCUUCCUUUUUGGUGGGUGUGGAUGAGUGGCGAACGGGUGAGUAACACGUGAGUAACCUGCCCCCUUCUUCUGGAUAACCGCAUGAAAGUGUUGCUAAUACGGGAUAUUCUGGGUCUGUCGCAUGAUGGGUCUGGGAAAGAUAUUGUUUCGGUAGGGGAUGGGCUCGCGGCCUAUCAGCUUGUUGGUGGGGUGAUGGCCUACCAAGGCGGUGACGGGUAGCCGGCCUGAGAGGGUGGACGGUCACACUGGGACUGAGACACGGCCCAGACUCCGACGGGAGGCAGCAGUGGGGAAUAUUGCACAAUGGGCGCAAGCCUGAUGCAGCGACGCCGCGUGAGGGAUGGAGGCCUUCGGGUUGUGAACCUCUUUCGCCAGUGAAGCAGGCCUGCCUCGUUUGUGGGUGGGUUGACGGUAGCUGGAUAAGAAGCGCCGGCUAACUACGUG